GGCGAACGCUGGCGGCGUGCCUAAUACAUGCAAGUCGAACGCUUCUUUCCUCCCGAGUGCUUGCACUCAAUUGGAAAGAGGAGUGGCGGACGGGUGAGUAACACGCGGGUAACCUACCCAUCAGAGGGGGAUAACACUUGGAAACAGGUGCUAAUACCGCAUAACAGUUUAUGCCGCAUGGCAUAAGAGUGAAAGGCGCUUUCGGGUGUCGUUGAUGGAUGGACCCGCGGUGCAUUAGCUAGUUGGUGAGGUAACGGCUCACCAAGGCCACGAUGCAUAGCCGACCUGAGAGGGUGAUCGGCCACACUGGGACUGAGACACGGCCCAGACUCCUACGGGAGGCAGCAGUAGGGAAUCUUCGGCAAUGGACGAAAGUCUGACCGAGCAACGCCGCGUGAGUGAAGAAGGUGUUCGGAUCGUAAAACUCUGUUGUUAGAGAAGAACAAGGACGUUAGUAACUGAACGUCCCCUGACGGUAUCUAACCAGAAAGCCACGGCUAACUACGUG
Molecule: ribosomal RNA, 508 nt
Filed under: uncultured bacterium
Lineage: Bacteria
Description: partial 16S ribosomal RNA
Rfam family: Bacterial small subunit ribosomal RNA
Source: RNAcentral